Long non-coding RNA from Bos taurus (domestic cattle), 437 nucleotides. Lineage: Eukaryota; Metazoa; Chordata; Mammalia; Artiodactyla; Bovidae. The record is from Ensembl.
CAUUCCCAACAGCUGGCUAGUUACACUCUGGAGAGGUGGAGUCUCUGACUUAAGACGACAGCCUCUCAGAUGGCUCUGAGCGACCACUCUAAAGAGAAACGUGAAAACUUUAGUGGAAUAAAGGACCAGAGCGAAAGAGGUUCAAAGUCUUCCCACACCCCUGUGCUUAGUGGCAAAACUGAGCAGAAGAGUGAGGUAGGAGUCUCAUGUGGAGUCUCCACUCACACAUGGAGUGGAGCAAGAUUUGGGACUUGCUUACUUUUGAGAAAACAGUACCAGUCUAGCAAAACGGAGGCACUGGGAGGAUUGGAAUGAAAACUGACCUUUUCCAGUCCUGUGACCACUGCUGAGUUUUCCAAAUUUGCUGGCAUAUUGAGUGCAGCACUUUCACAGCAUCACCUUUCAGGAUUUGAAAUAGCUCAACUGGAAUUCCAUCA